Molecule: ribosomal RNA, 472 nt
Filed under: uncultured organism
Description: partial 16S ribosomal RNA
Rfam family: Bacterial small subunit ribosomal RNA
Source: RNAcentral
ACGUACACUCCUGCGGGAGGCAGCAGUGAGGAAUAUUGGACAAUGGGUGGAAGCCUGAUCCAGCCAUCCCGCGUGCAGGAAGACGGCCCUAUGGGUUGUAAACUGCUUUUAUCUGGGGAUAAACCUACUUACGUGUAAGUAGCUGAAGGUACCAGAAGAAUAAGCACCGGCUAACUCCGUGCCAGCAGCCGCGGUAAUACGGAGGGUGCAAGCGUUAUCCGGAUUUAUUGGGUUUAAAGGGUCCGUAGGCGGACUGAUAAGUCAGUGGUGAAAUCCGACAGCUUAACUGUCGAACUGCCAUUGAUACUGUUAGUCUUGAGUAAGGUUGAAGUGGCUGGAAUAAGUAGUGUAGCGGUGAAAUGCAUAGAUAUUACUUAGAACACCAAUUGCGAAGGCAGGUCACUAAGUCUUAACUGACGCUGAUGGACGAAAGCGUGGGGAGUGAACAGGAUUAGAUACCCUUGUAGUCCCA